This 261-nucleotide ribosomal RNA is filed under the name uncultured bacterium. Its description in RNAcentral is "partial 16S ribosomal RNA". It matches the Rfam family "Bacterial small subunit ribosomal RNA", at positions 28 to 294 of the family's 1533-position model. The record is from RNAcentral.
GAUGAACGCUAGCGGCAGGCUUAACACAUGCAGGUCGAGGGGUAUGCUUCUUCGGAAGCAGAGACCGGCGCACGGGUGCGUAACGCGUAUGCAAUCUACCUUUUACAGAGGGAUAGCCCAGAGAAAUUUGGAUUAAUACCUCAUAGUAUUAUAGAAUGGCAUCAUUUUAUAAUUAAAGUCACAACGGUAAAGAUGAGCAUGCGUCCCAUUAGCUAGUUGGAAGGUAACGGCUUACCAAGGCUACGAUGGGUAGGGGUCCUG